Long non-coding RNA from Quercus lobata, 510 nucleotides. RefSeq lists it as uncharacterized. NCBI's taxonomy places the organism in Eukaryota, Viridiplantae, Streptophyta, Magnoliopsida, Fagales, Fagaceae. The record is from RefSeq and is a predicted model, not a curated record. The transcript is spliced from 3 exons.
UCUCAUCUCUUCUCACUUUGCUCUCUUUUUCUUUUUCAUUUUGUCUCAACACAACACACAUACACACACUCCUCUCCCUCACUCUCCCACCGGUACACUCCUCAUCACCUCCACCAUUUUUCCGGCAAGAUCACCAGAAAACCCUCAAGAACAUCACACCUUCACAUAAGUUAUUUGAGGUUCUAACUAAUUUCAUUUGGAGCUUGGAAAAUUAAUCUUUUGUCGGUUGCAAGCUUUUUGGUGGCUAGCAAUAGUUAGACUAAUUGCUGAUGGAGGCUGACUUUUAUGAUGGAGAUAAUUGUUGAUGUAUAACUUAGAGUAAGCUUGACCCAAUUCUUUUGUAUCUAAUAGUGGUUAUGCCUUUAUUUCCCACUAAUGGGACAAGUUGAUGUUAUGUAAUUAUUUAUUUAGACCUCCAUUCUUUUGUGACCAAUAAUCAUUGUAUUUAUUGUAUAGAGCUCUGACUUACUUUGGAAGUAUAUUUAAUGGAAUUAUUAGGAUGAUUCUUGA